UACGAAGGGGGCUAGCGUUGCUCGGAAUUACUGGGCGUAAAGCGCACGUAGGCGGAUCUUUAAGUCAGGGGUGAAAUCCUGGAGCUCAACUCCAGAACUGCCUUUGAUACUGGGAAUCUCGAGUCCGGGAGAGGUGAGUGGAACUGCGAGUGUAGAGGUGAAAUUCGUAGAUAUUCGCAAGAACACCAGUGGCGAAGGCGGCUCACUGGCCCGGUACUGACGCUGAGGUGCGAAAGCGUGGGGAGCAAACAGG
Molecule: ribosomal RNA, 253 nt
Filed under: uncultured bacterium
Lineage: Bacteria
Description: partial 16S ribosomal RNA
Rfam family: Bacterial small subunit ribosomal RNA
Source: RNAcentral